AGCAGCCGCGGUAAUUCCAGCUCCAAUAGCGUAUAUUAAAGUUGUUGCAGUUAAAAAGCUCAUAGUUGAAUUUCGGGGUUAAUAAGUUGGUCGUACCUAUGGUAUGUACUGGCUUUAUUGAUUCCUACCUCUUGACGAACUGUGAUGCCAUUAAUUUGGUGUUGCAAGGAAUCAGGACUGUUACCUUGAAAAAAUUAGAGUGUUUAAAGCAGGCUUACGCUUGAAUACAUUAGCAUGGAAUAAUGAAAUAGGACGUUUGAACCUAUUUUGUUGGUUUCUAGGAUCGACGUAAUGAUUAAUAGGGAUAGUUGGGGGCAUUAGUAUUCAAUUGUCAGAGGUGAAAUUCUUGGAUUUAUUGAAGACUAACUACUGCGAAAGCAUUUGCCAAGGAUGUUUUCAUUAAUCAAGAACGAAGUUAGGGGAUCGAAGACGAUCAGAUACCGUCGUAGUCUUAACCAUAAACUAUGCCGACUAGGGAUCGGAUGAUGUUAAUUUUUUUAAUGUACUCAUUCGGCGCCUU
Molecule: ribosomal RNA, 520 nt
Filed under: uncultured Glomeraceae
Lineage: Eukaryota; Fungi; Glomeromycota; Glomeromycetes; Glomerales; Glomeraceae
Description: SSU rRNA
Rfam family: Eukaryotic small subunit ribosomal RNA
Source: RNAcentral